UUGAAGUUCUUUUGUCAGAGAUGAACAUUCUGCUGCUGUCAUAUAUUUAUCAUCUGUCAUGCUAUGGGAGAAGCACACAUUAAAUCUGGCACUUGCUAGGCUGUUGAAUUAUUGCUGUUAUGAUUGGGUUUCCCACGUCUUUCCCAUGGAAUUACAGAGCUCAUCACUAUGGCAUCUGCUGGGCCUGCGAUGGAUCAAAGCGAAAGUUAGGAUGGAAAAGCGAGGCUCCUGGAGACAGCUUAUCUACUGUGAAGUCUGCUCUUCUGGUUUGUCCCAACUUUGGAGUUUGGCAGCAACAGGACAGGCACAGAGCUCUGGGAAAGGAAGUGUGUGAAAACUGAAUCUCACCAAUGUCAUGAGCCCCCCGGGAUCUUCAAGGUCAUCUCGUUUAAUUCCUCUACACUGCAGAUGAGAAACUGACAUUCAGAGAGUCAAUAACCACACGGCCUGAGUGUGGUUUGGGCCUUAGCCGUGGAGCUGCCUCAAGCUGGCCUCCUGCAGUGCCCAGCGGCCCACCAGGGCUUGAGGAAGCUAGCACGUGCCAGGCAAUUGCCCAAUGGCUCUCAAGACUCCUGGCAAAUAACUCUAGAAGCAGGUGCUGUUUCCCAAGGAUCAGCAAGAGCGGCACAGAAUUCCACGGUGCCCAGUGCAUGGCUGUUUAAUACGCACAGCUUCCUGAUGGCCCUCAUUUCAGGUUAAUUCCCACAUAAUGAGUGGAAAAAGACCUCAAGCAUGGAGACAUCGUGAAACUGUGCUUCUAAAGACACACAUUGAAGCCCACUUCUGUGCUGAUG
Molecule: long non-coding RNA, 794 nt
Organism: Bos taurus (domestic cattle)
Lineage: Eukaryota; Metazoa; Chordata; Mammalia; Artiodactyla; Bovidae
Source: Ensembl